RNAcentral lists this long non-coding RNA (8351 nucleotides) under Brassica napus (rape). RNAcentral describes it as "long non-coding RNA (BNAP_LNC021999)". The record is from RNAcentral. Lineage: Eukaryota; Viridiplantae; Streptophyta; Magnoliopsida; Brassicales; Brassicaceae.
UUCCUUUUGUGGGCUUGUUGUUAUCGUUCUUGGCUAACGAUCCCGCCGACCCGCAACAAUUACCCAUGGCUUCAACAAUGACGGAUCAAGUCAAACCCGGUCGUAGCUCGAGAGAUCGAGGGAACUUAAUUGGGUAUAGAUUCACGAGGUGUGAUUCCAAGAUAAUGGGAAGAUCAAAGGAUGGUUACUUGGAAUGAAAUUGUGGAUGAGACGGGUAUAUAUGUGGGAAUGGAGGAGGGGAAGAUCAUAAACGCGUGAAAAUCAAAGAAGAUGGAUCGAAUCAACGUCAAAAUAUUUUUCUUGUCUGAAUCAAAUUGUUUUUAUGUUUUGUCUGAAAAUCAUGAAAAUAAUUUACAGACAUGAUGGAAGGAAAGUCAACAGAAUCUUCCUCCCUAAACUGUCUUGAUUUUUUUUCUGUAUUUUGUUUUUCAUUUUUUUUCUAAUUUCUUUCUUUCUGUUUUUUUUUUUUAAAUUCUUCACUUAUAAAAGUUAUUAACUUCAAGACUGUGUUUCCACUUUCCAAUAAUGUGAAAUCGAAAUCACUGGUAAACAUAAAACUCUUAACAGAGAAAAAUAAAUAAAAACGCGAGUCUGUAUCACGUUUUAGGCUUUUAGCUGAUUUGAAGGAGGUAGUAAUUGUAAAUAAUAAUAGCCGUCUUCUUUAUUUCUUUUUGUUUCUUUUAUUAUUUUUCUACUAUUACGGUCAAACUAGGCGAUUUGACUCUUUCGUCGAACCCAAGUCACGCAACUAACAAUAUUUUAUUAUUGCCAUCCUACUAACAGCAUAACUGAAAAUAUGCCAAAUCAAAUAUAUUACUAGAAUAGUGGAAUUUUAUUUUUGUUUUUUUUCAACUGUGGACAUUGUUGAUUAUUGAUAUGAGAAUUUGUUAUUUUUCUUAGAAGAAGCAAAAGCUAUAGAAAGGUGUUAGUACGGGAAACUUCCUUACAAGUUAAGACUAUAUUACAAAAAUACUAUUAAAAAGCAAAGUCAGUGGAGUAUGAAACGAGGAAGCGAGAGGACGAGUCUUUGUCAAAAUGUGUUUAGAUUUAUUUGAGAUCCAAAGAUCAAUGAUAGUGAUGAACCUUACUUAAUCCUUUCAUCUUCACACGAGUGUUUCUGUUAAUCCUAGAUUCUUACCAAGUUAAUGAUUUCUUUAAUUUGUUUACUUACAUUAACACAAAAGGUCAAUUAUCAUUAAAAAUAUAUUAGGCAAUAAACUUAAGAGAUUUAUCUUUGUUUUCUAGAAAAUCUUCCAUCAUUAUUUCAUUGCUAAAGACUUUUGCAUGUUGCCCAUCAAAGCUCUCUCUGACCCAAAAACAUUGAAAGCCUUUCUAGACCCAUUAACGCAUUAUGGUAGAAGACCAGAUGAGCAAGAAACACAUAUGAGAUCUCUGAAAAAGAGAUCAUUUAGUUCACAUUUCACAUUUCGCACUAUUACAUUUCAACUUUCAUAAAAUAUAAUAGGAUAGGUAUGAAAAGUAUAAAAGAAUAAUCAUCCUAGUCUAGUUACAAUUUAUUCAAACCAGGCAUCUCAGAGUUUGAUAAAAUUCCCCCAACUAGUGCUCUAGUUUUGGAAUGACAAAACGAUACAUGUAAGCUAAUAACCUUAUGUGGAAAACAUACAAUAGAUAUUACAUUCUAUUUAUACACAUUGAUUCCCAGUAUAAUAUGGUACGUUUAUAGCAUAUAUAUAUUAUUUAUACACAAGAAAAAGAAAUACUUGGAGAUGGAGUGAAACGUCGCUUAGCUAGGAGAUAGAGAAAAAUGAACGUUUGGCCGGAGGUCGUCCCACGGCUCUCAUGAGAUUAGAGACUUCAAGAACCCUAGCAACCUCCGUACCUCUUUUUGCUUCCGCCGUCGCUCUCCUCUCCUCCGCCUUCCUCUGAGCUUUGGCUACUUUGUUCUGUGUUUUCUCCAUCGCCUUUGCUCUCCUUUCUUCCAACUUCCUCUGCAUCCGAUCAUCAUCAAUAUUACAACAUAUAUAUUGUCAUUAAACGCUUUAAAACACUUUUCUAAUAUAUGUGUGACAAACGUUCAUAAAAAUAAUAUAUAAGUUUAAAACCUUAUUCCUUUGAAAUAUAUUUUAACGUACACACGGGGUUACAAGACUAUAAUCUAUAUAAUCUCAAAAUAAUAUGUUAAGAGAUCAAUAUAACUAGUGUUGUAUAUAAAUUUAACAUAACUAGUUAACUAAUGGGAUCUGCUAUAAACUAACCUCGAUUUUCUUCAUCCAAGAGUUAGCUUUAUGGACCUGCUCAUUUAACCAACCGUUAAUAAAAGCCUCUUGUCUCUUAAACCUAUUAUUAAUCUUAGCCAACUUCGCCGUCUGCCACGCUGUUAUCUUAGCUUCCACCUCAUCCCUCUUCACCCUCUGCACCGAGGCAGCCGUCACCAUCCGAUUCUGACCACUUGAUGAAGUCGUCGUCACAAUAUUCUCCGAACCGGCCCGGUUAUCGUAACCGUCCGGUACGAUCGCCCACGGGUUUGUAUCUUCUUCAGGCACCUGAUGAUGCUGAUCACCACCACCACCGUCUUCAUCUUCACUGAUCCUAGUCAGCUCGUUUAUGACGUCACGAUGACUUAUGGAUUGGUUGUUCCCGUUGCUGUUGUUGUUGGUGUCCAUGGAAGAGCCCGCGAUGACUAGAGCGUUGAACUCUCUGCUCACGGUGGUGAAGUUCUCUCCGGCAGAAGAAGCUCCGUCGCUAAAGUUCACAGACCUAGUCGGAGACAAGUGUCCUCCUCUUUGCUGUGGGCGUGGAAGCUCGGUGGUCGUCAUAGCGUGAAUAUCUCUCACGACGGUCUCAGACGGUGGAGUCUCGUCCCGGCUAUCGGAAGCAUCGGUACUCGUGGUGGUGGUGAUCUCUGUUGAUGAGCUCUCUUGACUGUACAAAGUCAACAUCAGAGUUGUGGCUAGCUAGUAGUAUACUGGACUGUGUGAUUAGAAGUUGAGCUCUUGAUGAUACUAAUUAGACGAUGAAAGAAGGACACCAAGGCAAGGAAGAAUAAAUAAUCAAUGAUUAUGGCUUAAUCAUUUUGUGUAACGAAUUGUUUAGAUGAGAGGUGAAAAUAUUAACAAGUGUCAGAGUCUAUUCCAUGAAAGCUACGUUCGUCCAGUAAAUAAGCGACUACAUUAAUAUUUUUCAAAGACGUGUUCUCUUAGAUAUUUAGCAAGAGAUUGAUUAACUAAUUCAAUUCGGUGGAAAAUUAAUUGAUUUAAAUUAAGCCUAAUUUAAUUUUACACACUUUUAACCUAAUUCGAUUCAAUAUUUUUUAUUUAUUCAAGAGCAUCUUCAGAGAUCUUUAAAAUUAAAAGGGGACUUUAAUCAGCGGGUAGUCUUUUUAUUUAUAAGAAUAAUUUCAUGAAACUUUCACAUUGCAAUAGAUCAAUUUCUCUUGAUUUUUUCUUUUGAAAUGGAAAGAAUUAUCGUAGUGCAAGGAGUGUCGGCAAUAGGGGACCUACCACGAAAAUGGGAUAAUGCUUGUGGACCAAGCUACAAGCUAACACGUGUCUCUCGGUAAUAAAAGUUACGUACGUGUCAUUAAAUGAAUGGUAGCGUGUCCCCGCCAAAAUAAAAUACACACGUCAGCUUUUGAAUGUGCUCGAAGAUCCCAGUAGCAAAAUGGCACGUAUCAAAUGUCAAUUUAUAUCAUAUCUACCCUUAUUAUUUUUUACUCAAUUAUAUUAGUUUCUUAUAAUAUUCUCAUAUAUUUGACCCACAUGAUUAGUAUUUUAUACUGUAUAAAUUGUAUCCCUUUGUGAAAAGUUUUAGAGUAACAUUGCUAGUUUGCUUAGCUACUCAAAUAGUUAAAGACGAGUAAAAUCAACUUGGACUGAUACAUAUCUCGAGAAGAAAAAAGUUGAUACGAUGCAGAUUUGAUCGUGGCAUAAAGGGUUUAUAAAAUAUGUUUCUACCAGGACUGGACAUUUCAUCCGUUAAAUUUGAUUCGAUUUGUUAUUCGUUUCGAUUCGAUCCGAAAUUUUAGGAUAUCCGUAAAUUUUUGAAGCAAAACAAAUAUACUAAAAAUCAAUAUACGUUAAAAUCGAAACAAAUCACAAAUAUCAAAAUUUUGGGAAACGGAUAUCUGCUCCGAUCCGGAAAUAUAUAAAUAUAUGUACAUCUUGAUUAUACUUAAUGCUUUAAAUGUAUAAGUUUAUAUAAUUAUUUUAUAACAUAUGAUUUGACAAAUUCUAUUCACAUUAUUACUUAUAUAAAAGUAUUACAUAAAAAAGGAGAGAAAAAUAUUAUAAAACAAUUAUAAUUUUUAUUUUUCUUAAGUUUUGUGUUAUUAUAAUUGUUAACUAAGUUUAAAAUUUACAAAAUAUGUAGUUUCACUAUUUCUUUUAGUUUUUAUUUUAUAUAUCAUGCAAAAAAAUAUAUUAAAAAAUAAAAUUGUAGUACAUUUUUAAGAUUAUUUGUAUUAAUCAAAGUGGAUGAGAUAUCCGUAAGUAUUCGUAAAUAUCCGCAAAUAUCUAUUUAUUUUCCGGAUAUCAUAUUUUUCCGAAGUAAAGCAAAUCGAAAAAUUAGAUAUCCGUAACAUACGAACAAAUCACAAAUACCUUCAAAAAUUCGGAUAUCCGAUCCGUGUCCAGCUCUAGUUUCUUCCGCAAGUGUCUACAAACUAGAGAGAGACUUUGGUAUUCAGAAAAAUGUGCUUUGAAGUAAAGUAUGUUGCCGAGUUAUUCGGCACGGUAUGCAUUGAUUCACCGAAUCAAGCACCGAUUAUAGUUUGUGUGAAAAGGAAGAUAAACUCGAGAAAAAAUAUAAAACUUGUUGCGAUUAGUAAAACAAUUGGGUCAAGAUGGGCUACGAAUCAUCGCAUUUUCAGCAGAGCCCAAUCAACUAACCCAUUCCAUAGAUGCAGAUUACAGCUUACGGAACAAAUCAUCAUCAUGGGAUAGAAAAUCUUUGUGAUUUUUUCUUUGGGGGUGGGGGUUGACAUAUAUCCCUUACUUAUUAAUUCAGAAUCAUUUUUAACAAUAAACAUUUGUUUAGUAAACUAAUAACAACUUUCCCAUUAUAAACAUUUGUUUAGUAAACUAAUAACAAGUUUGCCAUUAUAACUGAUGUGGUAAACUCAUAGCUCUUCCCAGCCAACUAAAUUAAUGAACCUUUAAUUAUUACUAGGAUAUUUACAACUAUUACCACUACUGGUACCCUAUUAUACAUUAUUUGAAACAUAUAAUUGAUACAAUUCAUACGACUUUAUUUGGUUCAUAGAACAACAACCGGUUGAUAUUGUAAAUCUUUUUAACCGGUUUUCUUGAUCAAAGCUAUGUGUAGAAUAAGUCUGCUCGAUAUGUAAAAUCUACAACGUAGGCUGUUUAAAAACCGUGUCUUCUUCAUCUUCGCUACAAAAUAAACAAUAUCUUAAUUAAUCAUAUAUCAUACGCUGCUGAACUGAAACAAAAAAAAUUACUGCACAACCUGAUUAGACUAAUAUUUUCUUCAUGGCAUUUUCAAAUUUUAAGCUUACUAUUUCUAUCUGGCAAUCAUACUAUGUAAAACCUACAACAAAAUUUCAAAUAUGAUUCAAUAUAAGUGGUCCAGUUUUUGUUAUUUUAUAUUCUUAGUUACUCAGUUUCUAAAAAGUCAAAACUAAUAGUUAGUGGAUCUAUACAUUACUGGGCAACAUAAUGAAUAUAUUUAUAUUGUUCAUCGUCUGAAGUCGUUUAAAUGGCUUAUGGUAUAAGACAGUGAGAGUUUGACUUUAGUUCAUGACAUACACCAAAAAUUAAAUAAAAUGUAUGUAGCCCGUAGUAGUGAGUUCUGUAAGUUAUUAUGUGUACUAUGUACUAUGUAAUAUUAUUAAGAGAGUAAUGAAUUACUCCUCCAUACGAUUGUUUUGGCUAAAACGCAAAUUUUAAAUGUUCUGUAAUGUUGGCAAAACGCAAAUCGUAGUCACCACUGAAAACGAAUUAUUAAUGUUCUGUAAUGUUGUAAAGUUGGUCUGUUUACUCCAAAGUACUGCAGGUUAUCAUAACAGAAAACCUCACUAAUAAUUAAAUCCUACUAAAUAUGAUUGUAUAAACAGUUUACGUACCAACGUUUGAGUUCUCUCUUUCAGUUUGUCAGGUUCAUCUAAAAUUUAAAAUUUGCAUAGUAUGUUCAUUCUAUAAACGAUCACAUAAGCAAACGAUUUAGGGUGGUAUAAUACUUAGGUUCACCCCUGUGACAAAUAGUUAAAUUCACCACACUCUUCGUAACCAAUCAAAGUGCCUUGUAGGAGUAGUUAAAAACGAAUAUAAAAAAAAUAAAAAAAAUAGCUGAAAAAAAAACAACACUGACAUUAAUUAACGCCGUCUAAAACCCUAAACUCUAAACCAUAAAUCUUAAUUCUGAAACACUAAACUCUAAAUCUUAAACCUUAAACCCAAACUCUAAACAAUAAACCUUAAAUCUUAAAAUCUAAACCUUAAACCCAAAACUCUAAACCAUAAACCCUAAAAUCUAAACCCUAAAUCCUAAAUCCUAAACCCUAAACUCAAAUCCUAAACUCUAAACCCAAAACUUCAAAUCCUAAACCCUAAACCCAAACCUCUAAACCGUAAACCCAUCUGCUAGUUAAUAAGAUUAAGGUUUAUGGUUUAAAGGUUUGGGUUUAGGGUUUAUGAUUUAGGGUUUGGGUUUAAGAUUUAAAGUUUUGGUUUUAGGGUUUAGGAUUUAGGGUUUAUGAUUUAGGGUUUGGGUUUAAGAUUUAAAGUUUUGGGUUUAGGGUUUAGGAUUUAGGGUUUAGAUUUUAGGAUUUAGGGUAGGGUUUAGAGUUUUGCGUUUAGGCUUUAGGGUUUACAUUUUAGGAUUUAGGAUUUAUUGCGUAGAGUUUGGGUUUAGGGUUUAAAAUUUAAGGUUUAGAUUUUAGGAUUGGGGUUUAUAGUUUAGUGUUUUGGAUUUAGGGUUUACGGUUUUAGAGUUUAGGUUUUUAGAAUUUUGCAGAUGACGCUAAUUAAUGUCGGUAUUGCUUUUUUUUUCCAGAUAUUUAAAUUUUUUUUUUAUUGUCUUUUUAAGUUAUUCCUACGUGACAUUUUGGUUGGUUAUGAAGAGUGUGGUGAAUUUAACUAUUCACCGGGUGAACUAAGUAUUGUUCUUUAGGGUGUAACUGUAAAGUACAACCAAAACUAAUUGUGUACCGUUUCUAUUAGAUUAGUUACAACUUGAAAAGAAUAAUCCAAAUACACACAUAAAAUCGUCUCCCAGGCAGCAAACAACCAAUGCCGGUCCUGGGAUGACGAUACAAAACAUUCGUCUUGUCCCAAAGUUUAAGUAGUUUGUAUGUAUAGACAGUUCGGCCCCUAACUAAUUAAGAAUAUUAUAUGUAUUGAUCAUUUAGCUUUAGUUCGUAACUAUUUCAAUUCCAUAAAUCGCCCUGCGAACAAUUAGUACCCUUCAAGCAAUGCUACAUUAACAUUGCAAUAAUGUCCUAACACUAGAACCAGUGAAAAUGGCAGCACGUGAGAGCUCAAACUAUAUACCAAUCAGACGCAAUCAUGGCCGCUUCUAGACUUCAAAUCCAAUAACAUAUAGUCAUUUCAAUUCUGCAAACAUAUCAAGAGAGAGAUAAAAAAGGCUAAAUCGUGACGAACCUGAACAACUUCCAUGAUGGUCUUAGUCACAACAGCAGCAGCUCUCUCAGUGUAAUGCCCUCUCGCUACUAUCCUAUCAAACAACUCCCCACCUUCACAAAGCUCCAUAACCAAAUGAACAGCAUGCUCAUCCUCAUAAGUCUCCUUCAAAGUAACAACAUUGGGAUGCUCAGGCAUAUGCCUCAUGAUCUCAACUUCUCUCCUAACAUCCUCUAUAUCCACAGCCGUCCUCAGCUUCUUCUUCAGAAUCGACUUACACGCGAAGACCUCUUCGGUCUCUUUGUCGGUACAUAGGUACGUGACACCGAACUCUCCACGCCCUAGCUCUCUCCCCAGCUUGUAUUUCUGGGAGAUCUCGCGACCUGUUGGAUCCGUUAGCACAAUAAGCUUGAGAGGUUUUACCUUUCCACCUCCGUUAUUGCCGUGGUGGAGGCCGUAGUCGAUGGAGAAAGGGUUUUGAUUCUUCCUUCCUUUUGUGGGCUUGUUGUUAUCGUUCUUGGCUAACGAUCCCGCCGACCCGCAACAAUUACCCAUGGCUUCAACAAUGACGGAUCAAGUCAAACCCGGUCGUAGCUCGAGAGAUCGAGGGAACUUAAUUGGGUAUAGAUUCACGAGGUGUGAUUCCAAGAUAAUGGGAAGAUCAAAGGAUGGUUACUUGGAAUGAAAUUGUGGAUGAGACGGGUAUAUAUGUGGGAAUGGAGGAGGGGAAGAUCAUAAACGCGUGAAAAUCAAAGAAGAUGGAUCGAAUCAACGUCAAAAUAUUUUUCUUGU